RNAcentral lists this ribosomal RNA (403 nucleotides) under Fusobacteriota bacterium. RNAcentral describes it as "Fusobacteria bacterium partial 16S ribosomal RNA". It matches the Rfam family "Bacterial small subunit ribosomal RNA", at positions 355 to 776 of the family's 1533-position model. The record is from RNAcentral. Lineage: Bacteria; Fusobacteriati; Fusobacteriota.
UGGGGAAUAUUGCACAAUGGAGGGAACUCUGAUGCAGCGACGCCGCGUGAACGAAGAAGGCUUUCGAGUCGUGAAGUUCUUUUAUAUGGGAAGAUAAUGACGGUACCAUAAGAAAAAGCCCCGGCUAACUACGUGCCAGCAGCCGCGGUAAUACGUAGGGGGCUAGCGUUGUCCGGAAUCACUGGGCGUAAAGGGUUCGCAGGCGGAAAUGCAAGUCAGGUGUAAAAGGCAGUAGCUUAACUACUGUAAGCAUUUGAAACUGCAUAUCUUGAGAAGAGUAGAGGUAAGUGGAAUUUUUAGUGUAGCGGUGAAAUGCGUAGAUAUUAAAAAGAAUACCGGUGGCGAAGGCGACUUACUGGGCUCAUUCUGACGCUGAGGAACGAAAGCGUGGGUAGCAAACAGG